CCUACGGGGGGCAGCAGUGAGGAAUAUUGGUCAAUGGGCGCAAGCCUGAACCAGCCAUCCCGCGUGCAGGAAGACGGCCCUAUGGGUUGUAAACUGCUUUUCCAGGGGACGAAUCGUUUCUACGUGUAGAGACCUGACGGUACCUUGGGAAUAAGCAUCGCCUAACUCCGUGCCCGCAGCCGCGGUAAUACGGAGGAUGCAAGCGUUAUCCGGAUUAAUUGGGUUUAAGGGGGACUUAGGAGGAAUAGUAGAAAUCCUACAGCUUAACUGUAGAACUGCCAUUGAUACUGUUAGUCUUGAGUUUGGUUAAGGUAGGCGGAAUGUGUAAUGUAGCGGUGAAAUGCUUAGAUAUUACACAGAACACCAAUUGCGAAGGCAGCUUACUGGACCGACACUGACGCUGAGGCACGAAAGCGUGGGGAUCGAACAGGAUUAGAUACCCCAGUAGUC
Molecule: ribosomal RNA, 450 nt
Filed under: uncultured bacterium
Lineage: Bacteria
Description: partial 16S ribosomal RNA
Rfam family: Bacterial small subunit ribosomal RNA
Source: RNAcentral